This 464-nucleotide ribosomal RNA is filed under the name uncultured bacterium. Its description in RNAcentral is "bacterial SSU rRNA". It matches the Rfam family "Bacterial small subunit ribosomal RNA", at positions 340 to 786 of the family's 1533-position model. The record is from RNAcentral.
UACGGGAGGCAGCAGUGGGGAAUAUUGCACAAUGGGCGAAAGCCUGAUGCAGCUAUGCCGCGUGUAUGAAGAAGGCCUUAGGGUUGUAAAGUACUUUCAUCGGGGAGGAAAAAACAAAACUAAUAAUUUUAUUUCUUGACGUUACCCGAAAAAGAAGCACCGGCUAACUCCGUGCCAGCAGCCGCGGUAAUACGGAGGGUGCUAGCGUUAAUCAGAAUUACUGGGCGUAAAAGAGCACGUAGGUGGUUUUUUUAAGUCAGAUGUGAAAAUCCCUGGGCUUAACCUAGGAAACUGCAUUUUGAAACUGAAAUACUAGAGUAUCGUAGAGGGAGGUAGAAUUCUAGGUGUAGCGGUGAAAUGCGUAGAUAUCUGGAGGAAUACCUGUGGCGAAAAGCGGCCUCCUAAACGAAUACUGACACUGAGGGUGCGAAAAGCGUGGGGAGGCAAACAGGGAUUAGGAUACC